GACGAACGCUGGCGGCGUGCCUAAUACAUGCAAGUCGAACGAAGCUGUUUUAACUGGUGCUUGCACCGACUUAAACAACUGAGUGGCGAACGGGUGAGUAACACGUGGGUAACCUGCCCCAAAGCGGGGGAUAACAUUUGGAAACAGAUGCUAAUACCGCAUAACCACAGAAGCCACAUGGUUUCUGUGUCAAAGAUGGUUUCGGCUAUCACUUUGGGAUGGACCCGCGGCGUAUUAGCUAAUUGGUAAGGUAAUGGCUUACCAAGGCAAUGAUAAGUAGCCGGACUGAGAAGUUGAUCGGCCACAAUGCGACUGAGACACGGCCCAUACUCCGACGGGAGGCAGCAGUAGGGAAUCUUCCACAAUGGGCGCAAGCCUGAUGGAGCAACACCGCGUGAGUGAAGAAGGGUUUCGGCUCGUAAAACUCUGUUGUUAAAGAAGAACGUAUCUAAGAGUAACUGCUUAGGUAGUGACGGUAUUUAACCAGAAAGCCACGGCUAACUACGUGCCAGCAGCCGCCGCAG
Molecule: ribosomal RNA, 524 nt
Filed under: uncultured bacterium
Lineage: Bacteria
Description: partial 16S ribosomal RNA
Rfam family: Bacterial small subunit ribosomal RNA
Source: RNAcentral